GUUUGGUCGGUUUUAGGGCAAAUUUUGUACAACAUGUCAUAUAUGGGUACCUAACUUGGAAUAAUUCUAUGACCGGCUUUUUAAGCAUGGAUUGGGUAGCAGAAAUUUAUGUUGGACGAGCCACGAAAGAGGUAGUUACCGAGGAGUUUUUGCGUGUUCUUUGUUUUUGAGUCACGUUUGGUCGGUUUUAGGGCAAAUUCUGUACAAGAUGUAAUAUAUGGGUACCUAACUUGGAAAAAUUAUGUGAACGGCAUUUUUAAGCUUGCAUUGGGU
Molecule: non-coding RNA, 273 nt
Organism: Aegilops tauschii subsp. strangulata
Lineage: Eukaryota; Viridiplantae; Streptophyta; Magnoliopsida; Poales; Poaceae
Source: RefSeq, a predicted model, not a curated record